Molecule: regulatory RNA element, 88 nt
Organism: Bizionia argentinensis
Lineage: Bacteria; Pseudomonadati; Bacteroidota; Flavobacteriia; Flavobacteriales; Flavobacteriaceae
Rfam family: S15-Flavobacteria ribosomal protein leader
Source: Rfam
UAUAUUUGCAGCUUGAAAGAAAAUCUUUCAUCAUGUACUCAAUUUAAUUGGGUAAUACAUAACAAUCAUUUACAAUAAUAUUAGAAUG